Molecule: ribosomal RNA, 601 nt
Filed under: uncultured bacterium
Lineage: Bacteria
Description: bacterial SSU rRNA
Rfam family: Bacterial small subunit ribosomal RNA
Source: RNAcentral
AGAGUUUGAUCCUGGCUCAGAUUGAACGCUGGCGGCAUGCCUUACACAUGCAAGUCGAACGGCAGCACGGGAGUAAUCCUGGUGGCGAGUGGCGAACGAGUGAGUAAUACAUCGGAACGUGUCCUGUAGUGGGGGAUAGCCCGGCGAAAGCCGGAUUAAUACCGCAUACGAUCUACGGAAGAAAGCGGGGGAUCCUUCGGGACCUCGCGCUAUAGGGGCGGCCGAUGGCAGAUUAGCUAGUUGGUGGGGUAAAGGCCUACCAAGGCGACGAUCUGUAGCUGGUCUGAGAGGACGACCAGCCACACUGGGACUGAGACACGGCCCAGACUCCUACGGGAGGCAGCAGUGGGGAAUUUUGGACAAUGGGGGAAACCCUGAUCCAGCAAUGCCGCGUGUGUGAAGAAGGCCUUCGGGUUGUAAAGCACUUUUGUCCGGAAAGAAAACUUCUGCAUUAAUACUGUGGGAGGAUGACGGUACCGGAAGAAUAAGCACCGGCUAACUACGUGCCAGCAGCCGCGGUAAUACGUAGGGUGCGAGCGUUAAUCGGAAUUACUGGGCGUAAAGCGUGCGCAGGCGGUUCGUUAAGACAGAUGUGAAAUCC